GACAGAGGGUGCUAGCGUUGUUCGGAUUGACUGGGCGUAAAGGGCGCGUAGGCGGUUAUAUUAGUCAGAUGUGAAAGCCCAGGGCUCAACCCUGGAACUGCGUUUGAAACGGUAUGGCUAGAGACCGAGAGAGGAAAGUAGAAUUCCUAGUGUAGAGGUGAAAUUCGUAGAUAUUAGGAGGAAUACUAGAGGCGAAGGCGGCUUUCUGGCUCGGUUCUGACGCUGAGGCGCGAAAGCGUGGGGAGCAAACAGG
RNAcentral lists this ribosomal RNA (253 nucleotides) under uncultured bacterium. RNAcentral describes it as "partial 16S ribosomal RNA". It matches the Rfam family "Bacterial small subunit ribosomal RNA", at positions 524 to 776 of the family's 1533-position model. The record is from RNAcentral.